CCUACGGGUGGCAGCAGUCGGGAAUAUUGCGCAAUGCAGGAAACUCUGACGCAGUGACGCCGCGUAUAGGACGAAGGUUUUCGGAUCGUAAAGUAUUGUCGUUAGGGAAGAUAAAAGACUGUACCAAAGGAGGAAGCCUCGGCUAACUAUGUGCCAGCAGCCGCGGUAAUACAUAGGGGGCAAGCGUUAUCCGGAAUUAUUGGGCGUAAAGGGUGCGUAGACGGAAGAGCAAGUUGGUAGUGAAAGCCCUUGGCUCAACUGAAGAACUGCAAGCAAAACUAUACUCCUUGAGGAUCGGAGAGGAAAGUAGAAUUCCUAGUGUAGCGGUGAAAUGCGUAGAUAUUAGGAGGAACACCAGUGGCGAAGGCGACUUUCUGGACGAUAACUGACGUUGAGGCACGAAAGUGUGGGGAGCAAACAGGAUUAGAUACCCGGGUAGUC
Molecule: ribosomal RNA, 441 nt
Filed under: uncultured bacterium
Lineage: Bacteria
Description: partial 16S ribosomal RNA
Rfam family: Bacterial small subunit ribosomal RNA
Source: RNAcentral